GCGAGGUGGAGCAAACCCCUAAAAGCCGUCCCAGUUCGGAUUGCAGGCUGCAACCCGCCUGUAUGAAGUUGGAAUCGCUAGUAAUCGCGGAUCAGCAUGCCGCGGUGAAUACGUUCCCGGGCCUUGUACACACCGCCCGUCACACCAUGAGAGUCGGGAACACCCGAAGUCCGUAGUCUAACUUUCACGAGAGGACGCGGCCGAAGGUGGGUUCGAUAAUUGGGGUGAAGUCGUAACAAGGUAUC
Molecule: ribosomal RNA, 245 nt
Filed under: uncultured bacterium
Lineage: Bacteria
Description: partial 16S ribosomal RNA
Rfam family: Bacterial small subunit ribosomal RNA
Source: RNAcentral